CUACGUGCCAGCAGCCGCGGUAAUACGUAGGGUGCGAGCGUUAAUCGGAAUUACUGGGCGUAAAGCGAGCGCAGACGGUUACUUAAGCAGGAUGUGAAAUCCCCGGGCUCAACCUGGGAACUGCGUUCUGAACUGGGUGACUAGAGUGUGUCAGAGGGAGGUAGAAUUCCACGUGUAGCAGUGAAAUGCGUAGAGAUGUGGAGGAAUACCGAUGGCGAAGGCAGCCCCUUGGGAAUGUACUGACGCUCAUGUGCGAAAGCGUGGGGAGCAAACAGGAUUAGAUACCCUGGUAGUCCACGCUGUAAACGCUGUCGAUUUGGGGAUUGAGCUUUAAGCUUGGUGCCCGUAGCUAACGUGAUAAAUCGACCGCCUGGGGAGUACGGCCGCAAGGUUAAAACUCAAAUGAAUUGACGGGGGCCCGCACAAGCGGUGGAGCAUGUGGUUUAAUUCGAUGCAACGCGAAGAACCUUACCUACUCUUGACAUCCAGA
Molecule: ribosomal RNA, 490 nt
Filed under: uncultured bacterium
Lineage: Bacteria
Description: bacterial SSU rRNA
Rfam family: Bacterial small subunit ribosomal RNA
Source: RNAcentral